RNA transcript from Hemicordylus capensis (graceful crag lizard), 5939 nucleotides. It is a transcript of the gene named GRAM domain containing 1A, with no coding region annotated. The record is from RefSeq and is a predicted model, not a curated record. NCBI's taxonomy places the organism in Eukaryota, Metazoa, Chordata, Lepidosauria, Squamata, Cordylidae. The transcript has 19 exons.
CCUCCCGAGCGGCACAUGCCUGGAAUCCUGAUUCCACCGAAGACGCACCACGUCCGCCCGCCCUCCCUCCCCGGAUCUCCCAAGGUCAUUCUCCCUCCUGGUCGCGCGCUGGAUCAUUUCCCCCGAGUCCCCCUCCCAGAUCUGGGCCUGCUGGGACCCAGGAGGACUCCUGGCCCCAAUCCACAGUGCGAGCCCUCCUUUCCCCCCGGGGGACGGGGACGGACGCAGCUCCCCCUCCCUCCCUCCCUCCCUCCCCCAGAAAGGAGCCCCACGAGAGCCCCGCCGGUCUGCCCGCCUCCCCCCAGCUUCAAGGCCGCCCCCCCUGGACACGGACUGUGUGGAGGGGACCCAGGAGUCCUGGGGGAGUCCUCUUGCCCCCCUCCCCCCCACCUCCGGCCUUCCGCUCUAGCCCCUCCUCCUCCGGCUGGGCUGCGCUGCGCGCUGGCGGCGGAGCCGGGGGUGCGCGCAGCAAAAGGGGCGGCCUCGGCCGACGAGGGAGGGAGGGAGGGAGGGAAGCGGGGCCUGGCGCUCCUUCCUCUUCCUCCGCGCGGCGGCAGCAGCAGCACAGCAGCAGCAGCACCACCAGCAGCAGCCGCCGCCGGGCCGCCGGCCGGGAGCCGCCGCGCUCGCCCCUCCAUCCCAUCCCGUCCGGUCCCGUCCGGGCGGGGAGGGGGAGCCGCUGGAGCGUGCCGGGCUAUGUUUGAGACACAGGGCCGAUCCCUGGGUGGCCGCACAGGCACCACCUCGCCACGCACCACCCCAAGCAGCUCCCCCUCUCUGAGGAAGCGCCUGCUGCUGCUGCCCCCACGGCCCCCGCCGGAGUCGCCCCCCGAGACCAUGGUGGAGAAGGGCUCGGAGAACAGCGUGGAGCGGGGCCCCCAGCCGGGGCCCCCUCCCAGCACCCCCCUCAACUACCCGCUCAGUGGGCGUAGCUUCAUCCGCAACAACAAGAAAAUGCAAAGCUGGUAUAGCAUGCUGAGCCCCACGUACAAGCAACGCAACGAAGACUUCCGCAGGAUCUUCAAGGGGCUGCCGGAGGGUGAACGGCUCCUUGUGGAUUAUUCCUGCGCCUUGCAACGCGACAUCCUUCUUCAAGGGCGGCUCUACCUGUCGGAGAACUGGAUCUGUUUCUAUAGCAACAUCUUCCGGUGGGAGACCACGAUCUCCAUCCAGCUCAAGGAAGUGCAGUGCAUCAAGAAGGAGAAGACGGCCAAGUUGAUCCCCAACGCUAUUCAGAUUUGCACCGAGACGGAAAAGCAUUUCUUCACGUCAUUCGGGGCCCGUGACCGCUGCUUCUUGCUGAUUUUCCGCCUCUGGCAGAACGCACUCCUAGAUAAGACAUUGUCCCCCCGAGAACUCUGGCACAUUGUCCACCAGUGCUACGGCUCCGAGCUUGGCCUCACUAGCGAGGAUGACGAUUACGUCUCUCCCGUUGAUGAGAUCAACGGCUUGGGAAGCCCUAAAGAGAUUGGGGACAUCAUUGACCUGAGUGACUUGACUUCUCGCUGCAGCACAGACUUCAAGCUGGACCCCAGCCCCUUGCUGGAAAAAAGGGACGCCAGUCAGAGUAUCAACUCGCUGGCCAGCAGUAGUGAUGGGACCACCUCGCUGGCCGAGGACCCCGAGGAGAACACUGACAGCCAAAUGGAUGCCUCAUCCAGCCACACGGUGACUUCAACGACGGAGCCCCCUGGAGAUGAGUUGCCUCGAGGGCUGACGUCCCCCCUGGAGGGGGACCCACUUCCCAGUGAGGAGCUCCCCACUGACAUGAGUAAUUCCUCCUCUUCCACGCAGGAUGAAGCUGAGGUGGACGCCUUCUUCUCAGACCUGCCGGGGCGAUUGCUCAUUAACACCGUUUAUCACGUUGGCGCCGAGAGGCUGCAGCAGAUGCUCUUCAGUGACUCCCCGUUCAUUCAUGGCUUUUUCGGCCAGCGCAAGUUCACAGAUGUGACGCUGACCUCGUGGAACGGUGACAACAAGUGCCACCAGAGCCGUGUGAUCUCCUACACCAUCCCGAUCAGCAACCCUCUGGGCCCGAAGGCUGCAGCGGUGGUGGAGACCCAGGUGCGGACUCUGUUCCAUGCCAAUUCCAAGAGCAGGGGCUGUGUGGUCGAUUCGGAAGUGAUCACGCAGGGCAUCCCUUACCAGGACUAUUUCUACACCGCACAUCGCUACUGCAUCACCGCCGUGGCCAAGAGCAAGGCCCGCCUCAGAGUUUCUUCUGAGAUCCGGUACCGGAAACAGCCCUGGAACCUGGUGAAGGCACUCAUUGAGAAGAACGCUUGGAGCGGUGUGGAGGAAUAUUUCCAGCACUUGGAGCUGGCGCUGGUGCAGGCGGAGAAGGGUCUGUUGGAGGAGAGCUGCCACGGGAAGGAGCCCCGAGGGCUCUUGUCUGGGCUGCGCCGCCGGAAACGUGCCCUGAGCUGGAGAGCCCCCCACGUCGAGGCCCCGAUCCCCUCGCUACCCGAAGGCGAGGGGACAGCCCGUACCAUCCACGCCUCAGGCAGCCUGACCUCGCGGCUCUCGGAACAGUUGUCGGAGCACGGACAGGGCCAAAGCCUCUCCAACGUGAUCCUCAUCAUCAGCCUGGUGAUCUGUGUGAGGUAUUGUAUGUGAACGUCCCUUCACCGCUGACCACGCGACAGCCUCUGGCGCCCUAUGGACUUUGCCCUUCACCCAGCUCCCAUGCUGUGUUGGCAGUGCUCUUUGACUCAGACCCCUCCCUCCCUGCCUGCCUCAAACAUUUGCGGAUCACGUCUUGCCUCUUCUCCCCCCGCCCCGCUCUGUCCUGGUCACAAAGGCUUUUAUCCUGGCUUCCUGACCUGCUGUCUCACUCCUCAUCAUCUUUAUGGUCUCCUCUUGUUCUUUUGCCCUGGUCCCGACUCCCGUCACCCUUCACUUUCCCCUGCUCUCGGCUCUGCUUGCUGUUUCCCCUCUGUGGUUGUCCCAUACUCAAGGCUGUGGUGUAUUCUGCAUUAGAAAGAAGAGAAAAACUUUAAAAAGCAAGUGGGAAUCCAGGUUUUUAAAAACGAGACCGAGGUCCUGAGCUUGUCUAAACAAUGCCAAUAGAUAUAUGGCUCUUUAUCUGGCCAGAUUUUGUCUGCUCACAAGAGUUAUGGGGAGGUAUAAAAGGUUAUGCAGCGCACUAAAGUCAAGGCCCUUGACUCUUGGGUGACCAAUUCCGAACCACUCUGCCCUCACCCCUACAGCUUCUGAGAUUUUACCUGUGGUUUCCUACACAUUUUCAAGCCUAUGUUCAGUCCCAUAAGGGCUAGAAACUUAAGAAAAAGAAAAUUGAGAAUCCCAGAAUGCAGACACGCCCCCCCCCCCCAAAAAGCUGGCUUAGACUGAAUAAGGCCAAUUAGUCCAUCUAUUCAAUAUAAUCUAUGUUGCUUCUCCAGGGCUUCAGACAGAGGAUUUCCCCAGCCCUACUUGGAGACGCCAGGGGUUGAAGCUAGGGGCCUUCAUGCAACGCAGGUGGUCUACCACUGAGCCCACUUUAAUGCUUAUGUGAAAUGGUGGACUAUUCUCAGCUCAGCUCUGGCUGUAUGUACCUGUCUUUCAGCUCAGGAUGAGUUCACCUAUUCCAUCUGCAACACGGUGCUUUGUUCUCGGUAUUAGAAUUCCAGCUGGAGCUGCUAACCUGGAGGAUUUCUCAUAUAAUAGUUGCCUCUUAUCACCCGAGGCCGUUUCCUAUGUAGCAGAGGGGAGGUGCUUGCUAACAUUUAAGUCAGAGGUUCUCAAAUUGGGUCCCCAGAUUUUAUUAGACUACAACUGGAUGGGGUCACACUUCCCCAAAAGGAACAGGUACGCCCUCUGGGGGUGCUUCUGGACACAAAACUCUCCCAGGUGUCCCAGGUUGAGGCAGUGGCCAGAGGUGCCUUUUAUCAGCUUCGGCUGAUAUGCCAGCUGCGUCCGUUUCUGGAGAUAAAUGACCUCAGAACAGUAGUACAUCUGCUGGUCACCUCCAGACUUGACUACUGCAAUGCGUUCUGUGUGGGGCUGCCUUUGUACGCAGUCCGGAAACUGCAGUUAGUCAAGAAUGUGGCAGUCAGGUUGGUCUCUGGGUCAUCUUGGAGAGUCCAUAUCACUCCUUUCUUAAAAGGUCGAUACUGGCUGCCGCUAAGUUUCCAGCAAAGUACAAGGUUUUGGUUAUGACCUAGAAAACCCUAAACAGCUUAGGCCCUGGGUAUUUAAGAGAAUGUCGUCUUUGCUAUGAACCAUACCGCCCACUGAGAUCAUCUGGAGAGGUCCGUCUGCAGUUGCCACCAGCUCACCUGCAGUUGCCACCAGUGGCUACUCGGGGAUAGGCCUUCUCCAUUGCUGCCCCGAGGCUUUGGAACACACUUCCUGCUGAAAUAAGAGCCUCCCCAUCUCUUACAACUUUUAAAAGGGCUGUCAAGAUGCAUUUGUUCACCCAGGCUUUUAAUUAGAAAUGUGUUAAAUAGGUAGGUAGGUAGGUAAGUAAGUAAGUAAAUAAAUAAACAAACUCCCAUCAUCCCCAGCCACAGUGGCCAAAAGGAUGAUGAGAGUUGUAGUCCAACAUCAUCUGGGGACCCCUGAUUUAAGCUAAAUAGUGUGAACUCGCCCUCUGUCCCCCCCACCAAUUAUCAUCCCUCCCCCAUCCCCGUUAAUUCUUGUGUUUUUUGUCUUUUAUUAAUCCCCCCCCUUUCUCCUUUUAUUAAAAACAAUGGGUAGGAUCCAGAUCAAAUUAGUCAUGACAACAUCCCAUCAACAUUAAUGUCACGUCUUGUCUGUCUAUCUAUCUAUCUAUCUAUCUAUCUAUCUAUCUAUCUAUCUAUCUAUCUAUCUAUCUAUCUAUCACGUUUACAAACCACCCCAUCCAGAGGCUCUGGGCGGUGUACAAUUAUACCUAGACUAACUUGUCUGGAUCUCACUCACCGACUGACAUCCAGACUAAAUUGCCUCUGAGUCGUCCUGUUGAAACCAUUUAGAAUGCCUGCCGAGUUGUGCGACUGGGUAACUUUGUCCAAAUGCUGGCAUCCUGACUAAAUUUACUCAAGGAAGUCCCAAACUUUUCCUUUUGAUUUCCACGGGACUUCCUCGAGUGAAUUUAGUCAGGAUGCCAGUCACCAUUUUCGGAAGAGUGUUGAUGUUCCAGGGGGAGAUGCCGGACAUCAGCACCAGCCAGUCAAUACACAUAUGGCAGGUCAUGCCCUCUAUUCAUAUGUAUGUUCAUAAUGGAGAAGAAGUGUUCCCUCCAUACAGAAAGCAAACAGGUCAGGGAGAAGCCUGGGCCAGAAUCCUUCUGACAGGCUAGUUUACUGUGUGGAAGGGUGUUUUUUUUUUUUUUUUUAAAUGGAGGAACACUUAUUUAUUUGCUAGAUGUAUAUCCCACUUAGAGAUGUGAAGGACUGGGGGAGAACCAGGGAAAAGGUGGGGAGAAACUGGGGGAAACCACAAGAUUUUUUCUGGGGGGAAAUUGUUUCCCCCACCCCACCUUCACACCUCUAAUCCCAUUCUUCCUCCAAGGGGCCCAGCGUAAAACAGUUAUGAUUAUCCUCACAACAACCUUGUGAGGUAAGUUAGGUGGAGAGAAAAGUGACUGGCCCAGAAUCACCCAGUGAGUUUCAUGGCUCAAAGGGGAUUUGAACUCGGGUCUCCUUGAUCCUUGCCCAACAUUGUAACCACUACACUGCACUGGCAUUCAAAUAGAUGAGCCCACAGCUGUGUCCUGAGCAGCUCAGACGCUGGUUUGCCACGUCACCAAGACCCAAGCCUGAGUGGCCUCUUUUCUUUCCGAAUUCCAACCCAUUUGUCUCUCCACAGUCUGGUGGUCUUGGUCAUCCUCAACAUGAUGCUCUUCUACCGGCUCUGGUCGCUGGAGCACACGGCCCGGACCUUCGAAUCCUGGCAGGCCUACGCGCUCUCCAACGGAAAGCUACCCCAGACGGCGUCUGAAUGGGCAGAGAUCCUGG